This 1912-nucleotide long non-coding RNA is filed under the name Triticum aestivum (bread wheat). Its description in RNAcentral is "long non-coding RNA (TAES_LNC002229)". Lineage: Eukaryota; Viridiplantae; Streptophyta; Magnoliopsida; Poales; Poaceae. The record is from RNAcentral.
GUUGGACAUAUAUGAAGCGUAAGGGACUAGCUCAUUCACACUUGAGAUUUAGUAAUGUUCUUACAAUCAUUUAUUUAUGAUCUGCAGGUCUAAAAAACAAGCACCGGGUCCUUCUCCUCCAUGAAUCAGAUGUCAACAAGGCAACACGAAUCUGCAUGAGGCUGAACAUAAAAGAAAGAAAAUGGAGACAACUCGACGAGUUUAGGAACAACAUGUCAUCGACGAUGAGCACUUUUCCAGUCAGGGAAAGGAUUUUUUUAUGCCACGCUAGGACUUUUCGUGGUAUGGAUUGAAAUAGUCCAGUGUCCAGUAUUAUGGGAUUCACUCAAUUCAAUGCUGCUUCAUACUUCAGAGUUCAGACAUUUAUAUGUGCACAACAUGUGCCUUCUAAUUACGAGGUAAAAACUUCAAAUUGUUUUUUCGUCUACACAUAUGCGGUGAUGACGCUGGAUGCUUCGUAUCAUCACAAAGAAGCCGGCCAAGUUCCUUAGUUCCUUGUGACUUCAAACGGACUGAAUUUUGCAUUGUAGGCGUCUACUGUUUCUGAAUUUUAGGGUGGCAGCAACAAGGGCGAGGAGCAUGAUCGUGACACAGAGAUGGGCAAGUGCAGGGAAUGCAGGCAGCGAAAAGUUGUUGCGUUGCGGUUACCAACUACAGGGCCAAAUAUGUCGGCAGCCAUCCGCGCAUUAACUAAUUUAUGGCAGGUGAGGAUGAUAUAUUUUUCUUUUAUUAUCAGUAGUCAUAUUUUUCAUAUUCAAAUCCAAAUGUAAAUGUUCUAUUGCCUUGUACCAUACGGAACUAUUGACUGUGCUUGAUCUAGCCAGCUGGUAUUUUUUUAUAGUUGUUUCUCAUGAAUGAAGGUAAUUAUGAUAAGCAACGGCAUCAGGACAAGAAACAAUUUUAAGAGAACUGAAAUAUGCUAAAAAUAGUGAGGGUGAAAGUUUGUUCCAUUAAGUACUAAUCUAAUGAUAUAUAUGUACAUCAAAGGUUGCCUGCCAGGAGCAUUGCCUCCAUUCCAUUGGUUUGCUGUGCGUUGAGCAUUUAUUUGCAAGAUGCGAUAUAAUCCAAGGCACCUUCCUGAUAAAGAGAGAAAUCAUGUAUAUAAUCUUUGUAUAGCAGUAUACAUGUGCAUAUGUUUUAGAGUGUAUAACAUGGCCAUUGAUAAUUUUGUUAUUAAAUAGUGCUUUUGCUGGAGAUGGAAAUUCAUAGAGAUGACGCCCUAUUGAUAGAGGCGAGUGGACUGGAGGUGUGCGUUGCACUGAGGGCAAAUCAAAGGCUGAAAGUUUGUCAAAUUUCCUGUGCUUGGGUAUGGCUGGUUUGUAAGCAAAUGAGGAUACUCUGCCUUUUUACAGUGGUAUAUUGUUUAGUGAGGGGAAGGUACUCUCUUUUUCUAGACGGAAGAUCAUCUGCUUUGUGGCAAGGGGAUAUAUCGUGUUACUUCUCCCCCAUUUUGGUAUGUCUAAAUUCAGUAACAAGAUUAUACUCCUUGUUAAUUUUCCACGGCGUAACUUCGUAACUACGCGUUUCUCGUGUCGAGGCCAAUAUGCUUAAUGAGUCGGUUAGUUUUAAGUAAGCAUAAAAAACAUUGAUGUGCAAUCUUUUAUUGGUAAUGCAGUGAACAAAUAAAUACUUGAAUGUGAACCACUCUAUUUUGUGCAUCAGAUAUGGCAAGGCUCUCCUUGUGUUGUUUUCCUCCGUUUCUUGUUUUGUUUGGAAAAUGACAUAUUAUUAGCUCCAAGUUAUUGUCUGGAGAAGCUAAGACUAGGACAUGAAGAGAAAGUAACAAAGCAAAGAAAUAGUGGCAAAUAAACGAAAUGAGACAUUUGAAUGAUAUGUUGUUUUCUGGAAAUCAUCAUUAACUCAUUAUUAAUGUAGUGGUAAUACGUUGUUGCGCGUUGGAGAAGACACUGAG